GUGUCAGCCGCCGCGGUAAUACGGAGGGUGCGAGCGUUGUUCGGAAUCACUGGGCGUAAAGGGCGUGUAGGCGGUCCGCUAAGUCUGAUGUGAAAGCCCGGGGCUCACCCCCGGAAGGGCAUUGGAAACUGACGGACUCGAGUCCCGAAGAGGAGGGUGGAAUUCCUGGUGUAGCGGUGAAAUGCGUAGAUAUCAGGAGGAACACCGGUGGCGAAGGCGGCCCUCUGGACGGUGACUGACGCUGAGACGCGAAAGCGUGGGGAGCAAACAGGAUUAGAAACCCCUGUAGUCC
Molecule: ribosomal RNA, 292 nt
Filed under: uncultured bacterium
Lineage: Bacteria
Description: partial 16S ribosomal RNA
Rfam family: Bacterial small subunit ribosomal RNA
Source: RNAcentral